Molecule: non-coding RNA, 100 nt
Organism: Podarcis lilfordi (Lilford's wall lizard)
Lineage: Eukaryota; Metazoa; Chordata; Lepidosauria; Squamata; Lacertidae
Source: the annotation of a GenBank genome assembly
GCCCUCCAGAUGUUUUGGGACUUCAGCUCUCAUGAUCCCCAGCUAGCAGGACCAGUGGUCAGGGAUGAUGGGAGUUGUAGUCCCAAAACAUCUGGAGGGC